Molecule: ribosomal RNA, 256 nt
Filed under: Lactobacillus delbrueckii subsp. bulgaricus
Lineage: Bacteria; Bacillati; Bacillota; Bacilli; Lactobacillales; Lactobacillaceae
Description: partial 23S ribosomal RNA
Rfam family: Bacterial large subunit ribosomal RNA
Source: RNAcentral
GCUGACACCUGCCCGGUGCUGGAAGGUUAAGAGGAGAGCUUAGCGCAAGCGAAGGUUUGAAUUGAAGCCCCAGUAAACGGCGGCCGUAACUAUAACGGUCCUAAGGUAGCGAAAUUCCUUGUCGGGUAAGUUCCGACCUGCACGAAAGGUGUAAUGAUUUGGGCACUGUCUCAACGAGAGACUCGGUGAAAUUAUAAUACCCGUGAAGAUGCGGGUUACCCGCGACAGGACGGAAAGACCCCAUGGAGCUUUACUG